Molecule: ribosomal RNA, 253 nt
Filed under: uncultured bacterium
Lineage: Bacteria
Description: partial 16S ribosomal RNA
Rfam family: Bacterial small subunit ribosomal RNA
Source: RNAcentral
UACAGAGGGUGCGAGCGUUGUUCGGAAUUAUUGGGCGUAAAGGGCGCGUAGGCGGUGCGGUAAGUCACCUGUGAAAUCUCCUGGCUCAACUGGGAGCUUGCAGGCGAAACUGCCGUGCUGGAGUGUGGGAGAGGUGCGUGGAAUUCCUGGUGUAGCGGUGAAAUGCGUAGAUAUCAGGAGGAACACCUGUGGCGAAAGCGGCUUCCUGGUCCAGCACCGACGUUCAGGCACGAAAGCGUGGGGAGCAAACAGG